This 1017-nucleotide ribosomal RNA is filed under the name uncultured organism. Its description in RNAcentral is "bacterial SSU rRNA". It matches the Rfam family "Bacterial small subunit ribosomal RNA", at positions 356 to 1376 of the family's 1533-position model. The record is from RNAcentral.
GAGGAAUAUUGGUCAAUGGACGAGAGUCUGAACCAGCCAAGUAGCGUGAAGGAUGACUGCCCUAUGGGUUGUAAACUUCUUUUAUACGGGAAUAAAGUGAGGUACGUGUGCCUUUUUGUAUGUACCGUAUGAAUAAGGAUCGGCUAACUCCGUGCCAGCAGCCGCGGUAAUAUGGAGGAUCCGAGCGUUAUCCGGAUUUAUUGGGUUUAAAGGGAGCGUAGGCGGACGCUUAAGUCAGUUGUGAAAGUUUGCGGCUCAACCGUAAAAUUGCAGUUGAUACUGGGUGUCUUGAGUACAGUAGAGGCAGGCGGAAUUCGUGGUGUAGCGGUGAAAUGCUUAGAUAUCACGAAGAACUCCGAUUGCGAAGGCAGCCUGCUGGACUGUAACUGACGCUGAUGCUCGAAAGUGUGGGUAUCAAACAGGAUUAGAUACCCUGGUAGUCCACACAGUAAACGAUGAAUACUCGCUGUUUGCGAUAUACAGUAAGCGGCCAAGCGAAAGCGUUAAGUAUUCCACCUGGGGAGUACGCCGGCAACGGUGAAACUCAAAGGAAUUGACGGGGGCCCGCACAAGCGGAGGAACAUGUGGUUUAAUUCGAUGAUACGCGAGGAACCUUACCCGGGCUUGAAUUGCAACUGAAUGAUGUGGAGACAUGUCAGCCGCAAGGCAGUUGUGAAGGUGCUGCAUGGUUGUCGUCAGCUCGUGCCGUGAGGUGUCGGCUUAAGUGCCAUAACGAGCGCAACCCUUAUCGAUAGUUACCAUCAGGUUAUGCUGGGGACUCUGUCGAGACUGCCGUCGUAAGAUGUGAGGAAGGUGGGGAUGACGUCAAAUCAGCACGGCCCUUACGUCCGGGGCUACACACGUGUUACAAUGGGGGGUACAGAAGGCAGCUACACGGCGACGUGAUGCUAAUCCCUAAAGCCUCUCUCAGUUCGGAUUGGAGUCUGCAACCCGACUCCAUGAAGCUGGAUUCGCUAGUAAUCGCGCAUCAGCCACGGCGCGGUGAAUACGUUCCCG